This 31-nucleotide non-coding RNA is filed under the name Homo sapiens (human). Lineage: Eukaryota; Metazoa; Chordata; Mammalia; Primates; Hominidae. The record is from RNAcentral.
UACAGUGGCUUGAGAGACAUCAGAAGUUCUU